AGUGAACGCUGGCGGUAGGCCUAACACAUGCAAGUCGAACGGCAGCACAGUAAGAGCUUGCUCUUACGGGUGGCGAGUGGCGGACGGGUGAGGAAUACAUCGGAAUCUACUUUUUCGUGGGUGAUAACGUAGGGAAACUUACGCUACUACCGCAUACGACCUACGGGUGAAAGCAGGGGAUCUUCGGACCUUGCGCGAUUGAAUGAGCCGAUGUCGGAUUAGAUAGUUGGCGGGGUAAAGGCCCACCAAGGCGACGAUCCGUAGCUGGUCUGAGAGGAUGAUCAGCGACACUGGAAGGGAGACAGGGUCAAGACUCCUACGGGAGGCAGCAGUGGGGAAUAUGGGACAGUGGGCGCAAGCCUGAUCCAGCCAUACCGCGUGGGUGAAGAAGGCCUUCGGGUUGUAAAGCCCUUUUGUUGGGAAAGAAAAGCAGCAGGUUAAUAACCCGCUGUUCUGACGGUACCCAAAGAAUAAGCACCGGCUAACUUCGUG
This 492-nucleotide ribosomal RNA is filed under the name uncultured bacterium. RNAcentral describes it as "partial 16S ribosomal RNA". It matches the Rfam family "Bacterial small subunit ribosomal RNA", at positions 29 to 507 of the family's 1533-position model. The record is from RNAcentral.